Molecule: ribosomal RNA, 807 nt
Filed under: uncultured bacterium
Lineage: Bacteria
Description: bacterial SSU rRNA
Rfam family: Bacterial small subunit ribosomal RNA
Source: RNAcentral
AAAGCGUCUGUAGGCGUUUUCCCACGUCUGGCGUGAAAUCUCGGAGCUCAACUCCGAGCCCGUGCCGGAAACGAGGAAAAUUGAGUUACUCAGAGGCAUCUGGAAUGUCGUGUGUAGGGGUAAAAUCCGUAGAUACACGAUGGAACGCCAAAAGCGAAGGCAGGAUGCUAGGGGUACACUGACGCUGAGAGACGAAAGCGUGGGGAGCAAAGGGGAUUAGAUACCCCCGUAGUCCACGCCCUAAACGAUGUGUGCUCGGUGUAGGGACGUUCAAUCUGUCCCUGUGCCUUAAGCUUACGCGGUAAGCACACCGCCUGGGAAGUACGGCCGCAAGGCUAAAACUCAAAGGAAUAGACGGGGACCCACACAAGCGGUGGAGCAUGGGGUUUAAUUCGAUGGUAAGCGGAGCACCUCACCCAGACUUGACAUCCCGAGAAUCCUGCAGAAAUGUGGGAGUGCCGUAAGGAACUUGGUGACAGGCGCUGCACGGUCGUCGUCAGCUCGUGCCUUGAGGUGUACUGUUAAGUCAGCGAACGAGCGCAACCCCUACGGUGAGUUACAAGUGUCUCACAGAACUGCCCGCGUUUAAGCGGGAGGAAGGUGGGGAUGACGUCAAAUCAGCGUGGCUCUUACGCCUUGGGCGACACACGUGCUACAAUGGACAGUUACAAAGGGACGCCAAGGAGCAAUCCGGAGCAAAUCCUAUCAAAACUGUCCCCAGUUCGGAUUGAGGGCUGCAACUCGCCCUCAUGAAGCCGGAAUCGCUAGUAACCGUAGAUCAGCCUCGCUACGGUGAAUACGUUCUCA